Molecule: long non-coding RNA, 235 nt
Filed under: Elaeis guineensis (African oil palm)
Lineage: Eukaryota; Viridiplantae; Streptophyta; Magnoliopsida; Arecales; Arecaceae
Description: long non-coding RNA (EGUI_LNC048322)
Source: RNAcentral
AUGGGAUCUGAACAUGAUGCCAAGAAGAGAAACAAGAAUUUUUCUCUUCAUUCUUCUUCUCUCUCUCUAAUCUCUCUCUCUCUCUCUAGAUCUGAUCUAUGGAGGAAAUAUGGUGUGGAGAUGGAAGAAAGAAAGAGGAGUGGCGUUGGAUGAUCUCUAAUGGCAAGAAAGGGAGUGCCUCAAUAUAUCUCAUGCACAACCCCCUCUCUUCUUAUUUCUGUCAUACAAAAAUAAC